AGAAGAGAGAUAGCACAACCU
Molecule: microRNA, 21 nt
Filed under: Picea abies (Norway spruce)
Lineage: Eukaryota; Viridiplantae; Streptophyta; Pinopsida; Pinales; Pinaceae
Description: pab-miR529b
Gene: pab-miR529a
Source: miRBase by way of RNAcentral